Molecule: small nucleolar RNA, 79 nt
Organism: Fusarium oxysporum f. sp. cubense
Lineage: Eukaryota; Fungi; Ascomycota; Sordariomycetes; Hypocreales; Nectriaceae
Rfam family: A. fumigatus snoRNA Afu_294
Source: Rfam
CCAUAUGAUGACUCUGCUAUUAUUAGCUCUAUCCGAGUUCAUCGUGACGAACAACCUAUUCACCUUGGAGAACUGAUAU